AGGGUUUGAUUCUGGCUCAGGACGAACGCUGGCGGCGUGCCUAACACAUGCAAGUCGAGCGGAGCUUUUGGAAAAGAAGUUUUCGGAUGGAAUAGAAGGAAGCUUAGCGGCGGACGGGUGAGUAACGCGUGGGCAAUCUGCCUUAUACAGGGGGAUAACACAGGGAAACUUGUGCUAAUACCGCAUAAAACUGCACCGUGGCAUCACGGAGUAGCCAAAGGAGAAAUCCGGUAAAAGAGGAGCCCGCGUCUGAUUAGCUAGUUGGUGAGGUAACGGCUCACCAAGGCGACGAUCAGUAGCCGAACUGAGAGGUUGAACGGCCACAUUGGGACUGAGACACGGCCCAG
Molecule: ribosomal RNA, 347 nt
Filed under: uncultured bacterium
Lineage: Bacteria
Description: bacterial SSU rRNA
Rfam family: Bacterial small subunit ribosomal RNA
Source: RNAcentral